Molecule: long non-coding RNA, 550 nt
Organism: Nicotiana attenuata
Lineage: Eukaryota; Viridiplantae; Streptophyta; Magnoliopsida; Solanales; Solanaceae
Exons: 2
Source: RefSeq, a predicted model, not a curated record
AUCCUUUUCGUCAACACCCCUAGCCAAAAGAACUUUGAUUGAAAUUUCAAGAGCAACAAUAAUUUACUUUUACAUCCUGACUUUGAACCAAAACGUGAGAACCAAAAGAAUUCAAAAAGGUCUCUUUCCAAGACAUAAAAAAAAAUCAAAAACGUUUUCUUCUUUAUAUUUCAAACCAAGAAACAUUGGAGCAAAGUUUUAUAUUUAAAUCCAUUCAUCAGUUCAAAAACGUGAAGAUGCAGAAUUAUUUCAAAGCAAGGUUUCGUUCAAAUUCAGAAGCUGAAGCUUCAUUUUCUCGCUCCAACAUAUUUCACGGAAGCAGAAGCUUCACUUCGAUCAAAUAAUUCCAGGAACAGGUUUAAAAACCAAAGACACAAAUAUUUGGAAAGAAUUGAUCUGAUUGGGAUGAAGCUUGAACGUUUGGAUGAAGCUUGAAUUGUUGAACGAAAAAUCGUUCUGCUUUUCUCACGUCUUGGUGUAGUUAGCUCCCAGCGUUAUUUGUUCUUAUUGUUGAAAAGAGAUAAGACUUUAAAUGCAAAGUUUGGAAUUU